Molecule: ribosomal RNA, 427 nt
Filed under: uncultured bacterium
Lineage: Bacteria
Description: bacterial SSU rRNA
Rfam family: Bacterial small subunit ribosomal RNA
Source: RNAcentral
UGGGGAAUUUUGGACAAUGGACGCAAGUCUGAUCCAGCCAUGCCGCGUGCGGGAAGAAGGCCUUCGGGUUGUAAACCGCUUUUGUCAGGGAAGAAACGAGUUUCUCUAAUACAGAGACUUAAUGACGGUACCUGAAGAAUAAGCACCGGCUAACUACGUGCCAGCAGCCGCGGUAAUACGUAGGGUGCAAGCGUUAAUCGGAAUUACUGGGCGUAAAGCGUGCGCAGGCGGUUAUGUAAGACAGAUGUGAGAUCCCCGGGCUCAACCUGGGACCUGCAUUUGUGACUGCAUAGCUAGAGUACGGCAGAGGGGGAUGGAAUUCCGCGUGUAGCAGUGAAAUGCGUAGAUAUGCGGAGGAACACCGAUGGCGAAGGCAAUCCCCUGGGCCUAUACUGACGCUCAUGCACGAAAGCGUGGGGAGCAAACA